GUCCCCCUGUUUAUUAACUAACACUACAGAUUCAUUAAGUUAGAAUCCGGCGUUAGGACAGUGGAAUCCAGCUAGCCAUGGAGUCUAAAAACUUAAUUAAAAUAUUAAUUAGGAAAUUACAGUCAAGGAUUUGAACAGAUCCGGUGUGGGUUGUUCCCAAAGAGGACCCGGUAAUCGAGUCCACCAAUCUCGCGUGGGGACUAUUCCCACUCCAGGGACCAAGUUCAGGUCCUACCGGGUAAGCAACAACCCCCAUAUCGAGUCAACCAUCUCGCGGACGAAACGUUCGUCCUACAGUCGCCAAGCUCAGGCGAAUGGAGGUGACUUUUGAUGGGACUAUUGAUGUUAAGUCCUCCUUUAAACAUUUACACUGAAUCUCAACUGAUGAAUUAUAUCUUGGAUCGAAGAACAGUAGAAAAAAAUAUCAACUAUUAUACGACCCGAGUGUACCUUAAUAAAGGUACUCUUAAGUCAUCUUGGAACUUUUGACGUAUCUAUCUUUCUUAUUUCGUAGAGUACCUACGUAUUAAGAUCUAACUUUUAAUCCGUAAUCGAAUGAAAAGUUAUAAUCUCAAGUACAGAUUAAGAACUCAUUUUCGGUUCGUGUUAAUUAAAACACUAACAUAAAUU
Molecule: ribosomal RNA, 630 nt
Filed under: uncultured cyanobacterium
Lineage: Bacteria; Bacillati; Cyanobacteriota
Description: eukaryotic LSU rRNA
Source: RNAcentral